This 417-nucleotide ribosomal RNA is filed under the name Triticum aestivum (bread wheat). RNAcentral's name for it is "partial small subunit ribosomal RNA". The record is from RNAcentral. Lineage: Eukaryota; Viridiplantae; Streptophyta; Magnoliopsida; Poales; Poaceae.
AUGAAUCUAUGCCUAUUAGCUUCCUGGAUUAAGAGAUAUUUCCUGGAUGAGGGCAAGAUUUGGAAGCAAAUUAUUGAUGCCAAAUAUAGAACUCAUAGCCCUAAUAUUUUUACUAUCCCUAGCAAUGGUGCUUCCCCUUUCUGGAAAGGGAUCCUUUGGGCUACUAAAGCCACUAGAAUGGGGUAUUCCUGGAUAGUCAGUAAUGGCAAUAGUAUUAGAUUCUGGGAAGACCAGUGGAUUGGGCAUACCACUCUUGCUAUCCAAUAUUGGGACUUGUACAAUAUUGCCAAUGACCAGAAUAUUUCUAUCAGUGAAGUGUGGGAUGGCACUAAUCCUAAAAUUACUUUUAGAAGGUGUUUUACCCAAAAAAUGCUGGCUGAUUGGAAUGAUCUGUUCAGUCGGCAGUCGCAUUAUUAA